Molecule: long non-coding RNA, 2338 nt
Filed under: Zostera marina
Lineage: Eukaryota; Viridiplantae; Streptophyta; Magnoliopsida; Alismatales; Zosteraceae
Description: long non-coding RNA (ZMAR_LNC001460)
Source: RNAcentral
UUCAUCAAUAAAAUCGAAUGACUAGAUUUCAUAAGGCGCAGAUAACGCAAAUAGUAAUAUUACACUGGAAACUUGCCCGAUAAUAAUUAAUAAAAUAUAUCAUAUUUACUUCGAAAUUUAGGACAUCGUUGAAAUUGAAAAGACUUUGGAAUCCAAAUUUGGGCCGGGCCCAUGUAAGAAACCUUGUCACUGGCCAAGAGCGAAAUAAGACUCUGGAUUAUUAAGCCCACUGGGGUUUUAGAAAUGAAGAUCUGGGUAGGCAACUUGGAAGAUUGGUCCCAGCCCAGCAACCUAUAAGUCAAAGUGAUUUUAUGAGAUCGGUCCUCCCAAUUACAAUAAAUAGUACGUAGUGUAGUGGCAUUGGAUUGGGUUUCAACUGCUCAGCAAUUUCAUCUGCUUUUUUCCAAACUCUCGUUGUCUCUUUCACAGAUUCAACAAAAAUUGAACAAAAACAAACAAAACUCAGACAUACAUCGAAUUUUGAAAUUCUGAAUAAUGUUUGCAUUCAAACAAAACUCACCAACUCUAAAAAAAAUUAUUUCAAUGAAUUCACAACAUAUACCCUACUAGCCCUUAAGGAUUAUGAGUAAAAAUGAAUGAUAUGGAUCGUCGUCCAAGGACCCAAAUCCCUCCGGUGAGCUAGCUCUUGUAUUAUUUUCCUUCUUCUUCUUCUCUUCAUGUUCAUAUGGAUUGAUGGUUUGGGUUUCAGGUGGAUCACAAAGCAUGCAUAUGCAGAGUAGACGGAGGACUUAAAACCAUAGUCGGAGCUAAGAAAUUCGUCCAUGGACAUGGAGGAAAGCUUUGUCUUAGACCUGGUGUAAAAACUUCCAUCCACCCGACAAGAGUAGUCCAUCAACGGAAGCGUAGUGGUUGUGGCGGUGAAUCUCCAUUCAUACCUGGACUUCCAGAUGAUCUUGCGAUAGCAUGUCUUAUUCGCGUUCCGUGUAGCCAUCUGCAGAAACUACGGGUUGUUUGCUGGAGAUGGUGUCGUCUUCUUGCCGGAACCUACUUUUACUCCCUCAGGCGGAAAUUUGGGUUGACGGAAGAAUGGAUUUACAUCAUCAAAAGAGACAAGGUAGAUGGUCGGCUAUCAUGGGAUUCCUUUGAUCCGAUAUCGCGUAUUUGGCACCCUGUGCCACCGUUACCGACGGAGUACUCCCAAAUGGUUGGAUUUGGAUGUGGCGUGCUGGACGGAAGCCAGCUCUACUUAUUCGGCGGCAAUGAUCCCAUGAAGGGGGGAUCGAUGAGAAGAGUCAUCUUUUACAAUGCCAGAACCAACAAAUGGCACCGUGCGCCUGAUAUGAUAAGACGUAGACGUUUCUUCUUUUCAUGUGUCAUGAACAAUCGGUUGUACGUCGCCGGAGGUAUGAACGCUAAUCAUACUCUGACAACGGCUGAGGUUUACGAUCCAUGUACGAAGAGAUGGUCUUUCAUUUCCAACAUGAACACUAGCAUGGCCCCUUUCGGCGGAGUCGUUUACGAUGGAAAGUGGUAUCUGAAAGGUGUGGGAGCCGAUGGGCGGGUGCUGAGCGAAUUCUAUCUUCCGGAGACGGACCAGUGGUAUCCGGUGGUGGUGAAUGGGAUGAUUUCAGGGUGGCGAAAUCCAUGCGUGAGCUUCAACGGUCGAAUCUACGACGUGGGUUGCAAAGAUGGGUGCAAAUUGAGAUGCUACAACGAGGAGACGGAUUGUUGGAGCAAGGAUUCCGAUAGCAAGAAUCAUCUUGGUGAUUCUCUACCUCAGGAAGCCACUUCUCUCCUGUCUCUCAACGGAAAGAUAUGCGUGAUCAGGAACAACCUUUCAAUCUCUUUGGUGAAUAUUGCCGGCGAUGAUCGACAGCAAUGCUGGGAUUUAAUAGCCGGAGAUCGACCGGACAUGAAUAUUUUUUUCCCGAAUCUCUGGUCAAAUCUAUUUUCAGUUGGCAGACGUGCAAAAAAAUACCAAGUUGUCUGCUCUCAAGUUCUUAGUGUGUAAUCUAAAUUUGCAUGAAAUCAAAUCAAAUCAAUUUGAAUUGUGUUUGUAAAUUGAGCAGAAGAAAUCCAUACACACAGGCACACUACAGUGCUUCGAUUGGUUCCAAAUUUCCGAUCGGAAGAGGCAAUUUAUAAGCUGCCGGAAUAUUAUUAAUUCACACUGUUUAAUUUAUAUAUUUAUCUAUCUAUCUAUCUAUCGAUGCAUCUAAUUUACUUACGUGAUUUGGGUUUUCCGAAACAGAGACCACAGUAUGAAAUUUUGGGAGAAGGUGGGUCUGGGAUGGUAGGAGAGUCUUUUCUGGCGGUAUAAGCGGCGGUGGCAAUCCGGUUGGCUCCGUUAGAAAGAUUUCUCCUCAGUAUUCCGACG